Molecule: ribosomal RNA, 99 nt
Filed under: Frullania sp. B BlS-2016
Lineage: Eukaryota; Viridiplantae; Streptophyta; Jungermanniopsida; Porellales; Frullaniaceae
Description: partial 18S ribosomal RNA
Rfam family: Eukaryotic small subunit ribosomal RNA
Source: RNAcentral
GCCGCCGGGGACGUUGUGAGAAGUCAUUAAACCUUAUCAUUUAGAGGAAGGAGAAGUCGUAACAAGGGUUCCGUAGGUGACCUGCGGAAGGAUCAUUUG